GACGAACGCUGGCGGCGUGCCUAAUACAUGCAAGUAGAACGCUGAAGAGAGGAGCUUGCUCUUCUUGGAUGAGUUGCGAACGGGUGAGUAACGCGUAGGUAACCUGCCUUGUAGCGGGGGAUAACUAUUGGAAACGAUAGCUAAUACCGCAUAACAAUGGAUGACACAUGUCAUUUAUUUGAAAGGGGCAAUUGCUCCACUACAAGAUGGACCUGCGUUGUAUUAGCUAGUAGGUGAGGUAAUGGCUCACCUAGGCGACGAUACAUAGCCGACCUGAGAGGGGGAGCGGCCACGCUGGGACUGGGACACGGCCCAGACUCCUACGGGUGGCAGAAGUAGGGAACCUUCGGCAAUGGGGGCAACCCUGACCGAGCAACGCCGCGUGAGUGAAGAAGGUUGUCGGGUCGUAAAGCUCUGUUGUAAGUCAAGAACGGGUGUGAGAGUGGAAAGUUCACACUGUGACGGUAGCUGACCAGAAAGGGACGGCUAACUACGUG
This 497-nucleotide ribosomal RNA is filed under the name uncultured bacterium. RNAcentral's name for it is "partial 16S ribosomal RNA". It matches the Rfam family "Bacterial small subunit ribosomal RNA", at positions 28 to 507 of the family's 1533-position model. The record is from RNAcentral.